Molecule: long non-coding RNA, 252 nt
Filed under: Elaeis guineensis (African oil palm)
Lineage: Eukaryota; Viridiplantae; Streptophyta; Magnoliopsida; Arecales; Arecaceae
Description: long non-coding RNA (EGUI_LNC057268)
Source: RNAcentral
UAUGCCAUGAUGCAACUAGACUUUUAUUACAUAGAAAGUAGAUGGGCACUAGUUUGUACACAGAGUGCCAACAGAGUUCUUCCAAUACUCUAUCGGCCUUCGACAAGGUUGCCCAUUUUUUCUUUUUCUUUUAAUUAUUUGUGUUAAUUUAUAUUCUUGAGUUCUCAAAGCAGCUAUUAUGACCCAACUUUUUAUGGCAUAUCAACCUAUAUUGAUGGCUUCACCAGUCUCUCAUCUAUUCUGUUACGAUAG